UUAGUGCAUAUUUUCACAAUUAACUAAUGUAAAGAUAUUUUCAUAGUUGAUUUUCAUCUUACGUGCGCGAACCAAACGUAAAAGACUUUCCUCCAAAUUCACACUCUCGGGGCCAAAUUACAUAUAAAAAGACUUGGACCUCCUCCAAUCUCCGCAGUUCUUCACAAUCUAACACAACACAGUCCUCAGAUUCUUAACACAGGAUACAAUGGCUUCAGUUUUCCAUGCGUUGCACCAUUUUUUCUCUACUCCUCCACCAGAACAGGUAUUGACAAAAUUCACUCUCGUUCUCUCUCUCUCUCUCUCUCUCUCUCUCU
Molecule: long non-coding RNA, 317 nt
Filed under: Amborella trichopoda
Lineage: Eukaryota; Viridiplantae; Streptophyta; Magnoliopsida; Amborellales; Amborellaceae
Description: long non-coding RNA (ATRI_LNC000856)
Source: RNAcentral